UGUGCCUACGGGACGCAGCAGUGGGGGAUAUUGCACAAUGGAGGGAACUCUGAUGCAGCGACGCCGCGUGAGGAAAGAAGGUUUUCGGAUUGUAAACCUCUGUCUUCGGUGACGAAACGAGACGGUAGCCGAGGAGGAAGCCACGGCUAACUACGUGCCAGCAGCCGCGGUAAUACGUAGGUGGCAAGCGUUGUCCGGAAUUACUGGGUGUAAAGGGAGAGUAGGCGGGAAAGCAAGUUGAAUGUUUAAGGUACGGGCUCAACCUGUACAAGCGUACAAAACUGUUUUUCUUGAGUGGCUGAGAG
This 305-nucleotide ribosomal RNA is filed under the name uncultured bacterium. RNAcentral's name for it is "bacterial SSU rRNA". It matches the Rfam family "Bacterial small subunit ribosomal RNA", at positions 335 to 656 of the family's 1533-position model. The record is from RNAcentral.